CUAGCAAGUCUAAACCCACAAAAAGAAUUUAACAGGAUACCCCGAAACCAGACGAGCUACCUUAAGGCAACAUAUAUGCCACUUCCCCCUCUGUAGCAAAAGAGCGGAAAGACCUUUAGGUAGAGGCAAAAAACCAAACGAGCCUGGAUAUAGCUGGUUGCUUGAGAACAGAACUUAGUUCACAUAAAAGUAGUCACACCAACAGGGAAGAAAUACAACUUUUGGCCUAAUCAAUUGGGUUACAGCCCAAUUAAUAAGGGAAACAACCCACACACAUGAACAAGGAUUAUAAUCUUUAAGAAAGUAAGCCUAGUAGGCCUAAAAGCAGCCACCAAAAUAGCGUCAAAGCUUAACUUAUAAAACAUCAACUAUACCAAUAAAUAAACCAAAUUCAACAAAACAAUCAAGCUACUCUAUUCCUAGAUAAACUACUGCUAGAAUAAGUAAUAAGGAUACCCUCCAAAUACAAGCAUAAAUCAGAACGAACUAAUCACUGAUAAUUAAUGAAUAUAUUUAUAAAACCAGGAACCCAAUGAUAAAACCCAUUAACUCAACACAGAAGUAUUUAAGGAAAGACUAAAAGUCUGGGAAGGAACUCGGCAAACACAGGCUU
Molecule: ribosomal RNA, 613 nt
Filed under: Parvimolge townsendi (Townsend's dwarf salamander)
Lineage: Eukaryota; Metazoa; Chordata; Amphibia; Caudata; Plethodontidae
Description: partial 16S ribosomal RNA
Source: RNAcentral